AUUGAACGCUGGCGGCAGGCCUAACACAUGCAAGUCGAGCGGAUGAAGGGAGCUUGCUCCUGGAUUCAGCGGCGGACGGGUGAGUAAUGCCUAUGAAUCUGCCUGGUAGUGGGGGAUAACGUCCGGAAACGGGCGCUAAUACCGCAUACGUCCUGAGGGAGAAAGUGGGGGAUCUUCGGACCUCACGCUAUCAGAUGAGCCUAGGUCGGAUUAGCUAGUUGGUGGGGUAAAGGCCUACCAAGGCGACGAUCCGUAACUGGUCUGAGAGGAUGAUCAGUCACACUGGAACUGAGACACGGUCCAGACUCCUACGGGAGGCAGCAGUGGGGAAUAUUGGACAAUGGGCGAAAGCCUGAACCAGCCAUGCCGCGUGUGUGAAGAAGGUCUUCGGAUUGUAAAGCACUUUAAGUUGGGAGGAAGGGCAGUAAGUUAAUACCUUGCUGUUUUGACGGUACCAACAGAAUAAGCACCGGCUAACUUCGUG
This 484-nucleotide ribosomal RNA is filed under the name uncultured bacterium. RNAcentral's name for it is "partial 16S ribosomal RNA". It matches the Rfam family "Bacterial small subunit ribosomal RNA", at positions 30 to 507 of the family's 1533-position model. The record is from RNAcentral.